This 492-nucleotide ribosomal RNA is filed under the name uncultured bacterium. RNAcentral describes it as "partial 16S ribosomal RNA". It matches the Rfam family "Bacterial small subunit ribosomal RNA", at positions 29 to 507 of the family's 1533-position model. The record is from RNAcentral.
AGUGAACGCUGGCGGUAGGCCUAACACAUGCAAGUCGAACGGCAGCACAGUAAGAGCUUGCUCUUACGGGUGGCGAGUGGCGGACGGGUGAGGAAUACAUCGGAAUCUACUUUUUCGUGGGGGAUAACGUAGGGAAACUUACGCUAAUACCGCAUACGACCUACGGGUGAAAGCAGGGGAUCUUCGGACCUUUCGCGAUUGAAUGAGCCGAUGUCGGAUUAGCUAGUUGGCGGGGUAAAGGCCCACCAAGGCGACGAUCCGUAGCUGGUCUGAGAGGAUGAUCAGCCACACUGGAACUGAGACACGGUCCAGGCUCCUACGGGAGGCAGCAGUGGGGAAUAUUGGACAAUGGGCGAAAGCCUGAUCCAGCAAUACCGCGUGGGUGAAGAAGGCCUUCGGGUUGUAAAGCCCUUUUGUUGGGAAAGAAAAGCGGCAGGUUAAUACCCCGCUGUUCUGACGGUACCCAAAGAAUAAGCACCGGCUAACUUCGUG